This is a long non-coding RNA of Homo sapiens (human), 1480 nucleotides long. Lineage: Eukaryota; Metazoa; Chordata; Mammalia; Primates; Hominidae. The record is from Ensembl.
AGGCAGGCAGAAGGGCAGCCAGGACCAUCAGCUCGGAUGAGCGGCAUCGGAAGAAAGCUUUAGCUGCAUGUGUUUGGGUGACCACGAGAGGGCAGCACGUAAGAGACCAGUGUCGGCCCCGCUGCCUUCUUGAACACACCGGAAGCCUCCUAGGAAAACUGCAGAUUUUGUCAGACUGUGAAGUAGAAGAGUCAAAGAGCCUUCAUUGCUUCCUUUUAAAUGACCAGCCUACUAAGGAAUUUAGAAUGCCCAAGUAAGGACUGCUGGUCAGACUGGACUUCAAAAUUCCUGGAUCCUUAAGACCCAAUGCAUCAGACAAAUGUCCUGCUGGAUCCUCCCACCGUCAGCUAAGGGACAGUGCUAGCUCUCUGGUGAGGGAGAUCCGUGUGGAGGUCUCUGGCAUUCCUGGGUCAGUGGAUGGCUGGGAGAACUGCUCAGCUCCAGGUUCCAGGGCCUCUGAUCAAAGCCAACCCUGGGGGCCAGCCAGAGAUAUCGCAAACCUAAGGACUAACGUGGAAUCUACACCUGCCUUGGGAGUAAAGAACAAGCAGGGUGCUUUCCGGGAUGGCUUUGGGAUGAGAUGCCCAAGACUUAGUGCCCCUGGCAUUGCUCAGCUCUCAAGCUGACUUCCACAGCACCCCCAUGGAAGCUUCAUUGGUGCAUCUUUGGGUCUUGAAUGCAGUGCUACAAUAUUGACGAGGAAAGUCUCCUUGGAACCACAGGAAGACAAAAGUGCAGAGUGAUUUGCUGGCCUUGGCUAGGACAGGGUCCAGGGUGCAGCCAAGGGAGGGUGAUCUAAGCCAGCCAUUCUCCUAGUGUGGCUCCUGGACUAUGCGCAACAGCAUCACCUGGGAGCUUGUUAGAAACACUGGUUCUCAGUUCCCAUGCAGACGUCUUGCAUCAGAAAAUCUGGGGCUGGGGCCCAGCAAUCAGUGUCUCCAAAGGCCCUGAGAUCAUUCUAUUCAAGUUUGGGAACCAGCAACACAGCAUUUAAGUGGAAAUGUUUAUAGUUGCAAAGCCAGGUGAAGCUUGAAAUGCAUCAUAGAGGAAAUGAGGACAAGAAUGUAGAAAAAGAGUAAAAACAGAGAGGAAAAAAAUUUACAAGCCAUCAUAGAGUGAAAGAGCUUCCCCUGCUGCCUGGGGGUGUGGGAAAUGAGAGUUGCACCUGCUCACAAGUAUGACCAGCAAUUUAAUAUCUAUCUAGAGCUUUCAACCCUGCCAUGUCAAAUUUAUUUAGCUAAAAACAACUCUUGUGGUGGUGACCUUUUAUUCAGCUAAUAUUACUCCCCUCAAUGCCUCCAAAGCACACAGAGAAAUUGGAGGGCUGAUGAAAAUCUUUAAAGUCUACUAAAUACUAAAGCCUUCCCAAACACUGUGUACUUUUCAGAGAGAGUUUCUUUUUAUUGGAAUUUCAGAUUAUUGAAAGGUUAUCUGUCUCCUGUUCCUAGAGGGAUUAAAAUAAAACAAAAGCAAGAAGAAC